UGGGGAAUUUUGGACAAUGGGGGCAACCCUGAUCCAUCAAUGCCGCGUGUGUGAAGAAGGCCCUUCGGGUUGUAAAGCACUUUUGUCCGGAAAGAAAACGCCGUGGUUAAUACCCCGUGGCGGAUGACGGUACCGGAAGAAUAAGCACCGGCUAACUACGUGCCAGCAGCCGCGGUAAUACGUAGGGUGCAAGCGUUAAUCGGAAUUACUGGGCGUAAAGCGUGCGCAGGCGGUCCGCUAAGACAGAUGUGAAAGUCCCCCGGGGCUUAACCUGGGAACUGCAUUGGUGACUGGCAGGCUAGAGUAUGGCAGAGGGGGGUAGAAUUCCACGUGUAGCAGUGGAAAUGCGUAGAGAUGUGGAGGAAUA
Molecule: ribosomal RNA, 367 nt
Filed under: uncultured bacterium
Lineage: Bacteria
Description: partial 16S ribosomal RNA
Rfam family: Bacterial small subunit ribosomal RNA
Source: RNAcentral